Long non-coding RNA from Oncorhynchus keta (chum salmon), 1529 nucleotides. RefSeq lists it as uncharacterized. The record is from RefSeq and is a predicted model, not a curated record. Lineage: Eukaryota; Metazoa; Chordata; Actinopteri; Salmoniformes; Salmonidae. The transcript is spliced from 3 exons.
GUGUGUCCUAGAAUGGGGUUGGUAUCAUUUCAGCUGUAACAGAAGGGGUUUAGUGUCCUAGAAUGGGGUUGGUAUCAUUUCAGCUGUAACAGAAGGGGUUUAGUGUCCUAGAAUGGGGUUGGUAUCAUUUCAGCUGUAACAGAAGGGGUUUAGUGUCCUAGAAUGGGGUUGGUAUCAUUUCAGCUGUAACAGAAGAGGUUUAGUGUCCUAGAAUGGGGUUGGUAUCAUUUCAGCUGUAACAGAAGAGGUUUAGUGUCCUAGAAUGGGGUUGGUAUCAUUUCAGCUGUAACAGAAGGGGUUUAGUGUCCUAGAAUGGGGUUGGUAUCAUUUCAGCUGUAACAGAAGGGGUUUAGUGUCCUAGAAUGGGGUUGGUAUCAUUUCAGCUGUAACAGAAGAGGUUUAGUGUCCUAGAAUGGGGUUGGUAUCAUUUCAGCUGUAACAGAAGAGGUUUAGUGUGUCCUAGAAUGGGGUUGGUAUCAUUUCAGCUGUAACAGAAGGGGUUUAGUGUCCUAGAAUGGGGUUGGUAUCAUUUCAGCUUUAACAGAAGAGGUUUAGUGUGUCCUAGAAUGGGGUUGGUAUCAUUUCAGCUGUAACAGAAGAGGUUUAGUGUGUCCUAGAAUGGGGUUGGUAUCAUUUCAGCUGUAACAGAAGGGGUUUAGUGUCCUAGAAUGGGGUUGGUAUCAUUUCAGCUGUAACAGAAGGGGUUUAGUGUCCUAGAAUGGGGUUGGUAUCAUUUCAGCUGUAACAGGAGGGGUUUAGUGUCCUAGAAUGGGGUUGGUAUCAUUUCAGCUGUAACAGAAGGGGUUUAGUGUCCUAGAAUGGGGUUGGUAUCAUUUCAGCUGUAACAGGAGGGGUUUAGUGUCCUAGAAUGGGGUUGGUAUCAUUUCAGCUGUAACAGAAGGGGUUUAGUGUCCUAGAAUGGGGUUGGUAUCAUUUCAGCUGUAACAGAAGGGGUUUAGUGUCCUAGAAUGGGGUUGGUAUCAUUUCAGCUGUAACAGAAGAGGUUUAGUGUCCUAGAAUGGGGUUGGUAUCAUUUCAGCUUUAACAGAAGAGGUUUAGUGUGUCCUAGAAUGGGGUUGGUAUCAUUUCAGCUGUAACAGAAGAGGUUUAGUGUGUCCUAGAAUGGGGUUGGUAUCAUUUCAGCUGUACCAGAAGGGGUUUCGUGUCCUAGAAUGGAGUUGGUAUCAUUUCAGCUUUAACAGGAGGGGUUUCGUGUCCUAGAAUGAGGUUGGUUUCUAUGUAACUAAGUGGUGGAAUUUCCUCUUAAUCUGUGUAAGCUGAACAGUGUAUUCAGACUCCUUCUCCACGUCUUGUUACGUUACAGCCUUAUUCUAAAAUGGAUUCAAUCGUUUUUUUUCCCCCUCAUCAACCUACCCCAUAAUGACAUCACAAUACUCCACAAUGACAUCACAAUACUCCAUAAUGACAUCACAAUACCCCAUAAUGACAUCACAAUAUCCCAUAAUGAUGAAGGAAAAAACAUUUUGUAUAAUAAAUAAAAAUAUCUGAAAUAUCACCGUUACAUAAGU